GGCUUUUUGCACUUAUGAAGGGAAAUCCAUGCACCUGUGAUCCUCAUUCACCUUCACCUGGUGGAAAAACCUCUGCUUCUGUGAACAAGCUGGUCUGAAGGAGACCUCCAUGCCAGAGAGAGAGAGGGAGGCCAGGAGCUGUGUCACUGCCACAGAGAAUUAACUGCUUCCAGGUACAGGUGCAACAUCAAUGCCUCAAUCCCUGGCAAGAGUUAUAGGGGCAGAAAGGAUCUUCCAAGAGGCUGGUGCACUGAGAAGGAAGAAAACUGGAGGCAAUGUGUCCUCAGAUCUCUGCUUACAGAAGGAGGUUUUGAGCUCAUGCAAGCCUCCUGGAUCCAAGACAGCUUUCUUAUGCAAGGAUACUGGAGUCAAGACAGCUUUGCCUUGCACCGUCCUGAUUGUCAUCAAAACCUAA
Molecule: long non-coding RNA, 415 nt
Filed under: Ornithorhynchus anatinus (platypus)
Lineage: Eukaryota; Metazoa; Chordata; Mammalia; Monotremata; Ornithorhynchidae
Description: lncRNA (ENSOANG00000036294.1)
Source: RNAcentral